RNAcentral lists this long non-coding RNA (399 nucleotides) under Physcomitrium patens. RNAcentral describes it as "long non-coding RNA (PPAT_LNC003482)". The record is from RNAcentral. Lineage: Eukaryota; Viridiplantae; Streptophyta; Bryopsida; Funariales; Funariaceae.
AAUAGGAUUUAAAAUUUUUUUAGGAUUUGAUUAAGAUUUGUUUAAGAUUUGAUUAUGAUAUGUCUAAAAUUUGAUUAGGAUUUGAUUAGUAUAUGAUUAGAAUUUGCCUAAUAUUUAAUUAUAAUUUUACAAAAAUUUGAUCUAAGAUUAGAAUUUAGGACUUAAUUAGGAUUUUGUUAGGAUUUGAUUUAAGAUUUGAUUAAGAUAUGAUUAAGAUUUAGAAUUUAUCCAGGAUUUGAUUUAAGGUUUAGUUGAGGUUUAAGUUUUGUCUAAGAUUUGGUUAGGAUUUAAGGUUUAACUAGGAUUUGAUUAGGAUUUGACCAAAAUUUUAUUAGAAUUUGGUGUAGGAUUAAGAUUUAAGAUUUGAUUAGGAUUUUAUUAAGCUUUGAAUAGGAUUUA